This 611-nucleotide unclassified non-coding RNA is filed under the name Zea mays. RNAcentral describes it as "misc RNA Zm00001eb124720". Lineage: Eukaryota; Viridiplantae; Streptophyta; Magnoliopsida; Poales; Poaceae. The record is from RNAcentral.
CCCGGUGCAAAUUCGUUGGGUCCCUGCUGAUUUGAGCCUCUUGCCUGGUGCUCCACUGCAGCCGGUUGGAGGUGACGAUCAGGACAAAUCUGAUACCCCCCCUUCACGGAGAAGAUGUGAUGACAACCUUGCACGUACUCAACAUGAUGCAAUCAAUGACGUUCCUGGCAACAAGACCCACACUCAACGGCGGCCGGUUCAUGACCGAUUGGGACCCUUGAGGCCCUCGGAUUCCCCCAGGGAAUUGAGCCAUCCUCGGGUUCUGAUUGAUACUGAGGCCCGCAGCAGCCAGCCUUGUAUUUUGUUUGAUGCAAUGGCGGACAGCUGCGUAGGGAAUCCUCCGACUCCUGUGCCGGUCGGGGUUCAAUGUAUGGUGGCGGGGGAUGUGCUGCUGCGGCGCGAGGAGGGUUGCGAAGAUGCUGAAGUAAUUCCCAUGACCCCGAUGGCCGUUUCCAGCCCUUGUCCUUCCUCCGGAGUGAGACACAGACUGAUGUUGAAGACCGCUACAAAACAAGCAAAGUUCAGGAACCCGCCCAUUGCGUUCUUCAGACGGCGGCAGCGCGCUCCGAGGACCCCUGAGGGCGCCACACUUCCCCCUUGCUCCUCUGGUG